UCCCCAGUGGCUCAGCGGUAAAGAAUCUACCUGCGAUGUAGGAGACCUGUGUUCAAUCCCUGGUUGGGGAA
Molecule: transfer RNA, 71 nt
Filed under: Bos taurus (domestic cattle)
Lineage: Eukaryota; Metazoa; Chordata; Mammalia; Artiodactyla; Bovidae
Also listed under: 4 other names
Rfam family: tRNA
About the family: Transfer RNA (tRNA) molecules are approximately 80 nucleotides in length. Their secondary structure includes four short double-helical elements and three loops (D, anti-codon, and T loops).
Source: Rfam by way of RNAcentral